Molecule: long non-coding RNA, 444 nt
Organism: Rhipicephalus microplus (southern cattle tick)
Lineage: Eukaryota; Metazoa; Arthropoda; Arachnida; Ixodida; Ixodidae
Source: RefSeq, a predicted model, not a curated record
GUCAGGAUUGUAACAAAUCAAGUACUCGGGACACAAUAAAUUCGUUCGCCCCCCUUUCUGUGAUACAAGAAGAGUCGACUUCUCCUGUGGCCUCCAGCUCCGAGUUGAAGCCCGUUGUCGACAGUCGGAGACACGUUUUUACAGAGAGCGAACACGACGUUUCGGAAAAACAUUCUGCCCGCAAAAGUGACGUUAACGCAUCGGGGGCACAUUCGCACAAGGCGUCGACGAAGGAGCUAAUGACUAUGCAAGAAGAUUGCACAGGACCCCGUUCAGAUGAACAGGUUGGCCCUUCAAGAGAAAGUUCUGGCGAACAAAGCCGCCCGAACGAGCGCCUUCGCCAUUUGCGCUCUCGAUGGCGAGCGGCGCAGCGAAUCCUAGACGAUAUCGGCGCUCGGUUAAACGAGCCUGCUGGACCACGUGCACCGACGGAAGUGCCCGCCG